CUGUUAUUUACUGGUUACCUGAUUUGGUAACUAUGUAACCUUAACUUUCCAAAAUAUUUUAUAAGACCAGCAAAUAAAAAAGGAAUGAUGCUUUCAGACACCCAACAUACAUGUUUUAUGAUCAGAAAAAUUAAGUGCAUUGAAAUGCAGGUUAAUUUUCUACAACUGUCAAAUUCAAGGGAAUAUUUUUUUUAGACCUACUUUCGUAUACAACCGAAUGUGACGUACCAUGAUUUGGUGGUAUUACACCUUAAUUGGAUAUAUAGAAAACGUUAACUGAUAUAAUCAUUUGUCUUUUUUGGAACAAUAAAAUAUGUUUAAACUAAACUUAUAAUCAAUAUUCUACACAUGAUUAUUUAUCAGGAUUUCAAAUACAAUAAUUAAAGUUUUUAUUUCAUGUACCUUCCUGUAUUAAAUUGUCAAUUAUUUUUUAUAUUGAUGAUUUUAAUCACAAUUUCAAUUUGGUGCAAGUGUUUUUUUAUAUCUACUUAUUGUCUGUUCUUCAUUUGUAUAAUUUACAUAUUGGUGUUGAAUGUCAUUAAAAAUAUUUUUAAUAUUGAAGAUUAGGCAAAUGUUUAUGAGUUUACAACGUUUAUAAAAUGAUUAUUUUUAGAACAGCUAUGUUUGGCAAUUAGAUUGAUUGUAAAAUUCUGAAAAAUGAGCCUACGGGAAGAAUAGAAUUACAUUCCAGCAGUGUAUGACUCAUUGAAACCCUUUAUUCUGAAAAUGUGAGCACAAUCGACACUAUUACACCCCUAUAAAACUACAAAAUUUUAAAUGAAUUCAUUUUAAUGCUAAAACCAGAUACUAUUAGUUAAUUAAGCUUUUUUGCUAGAUUUGUUUUAAAUAUUAGUCCUUAUUACUACGCAUUGUUGCAUUGUUUUUACCAAUAGCCUGUGCAGUCAAGGCUGUUGCAUUUAUUUGUACAAAUGAAAAGAUGGUCACUAUAAAACCUGAAUUGUUACCGUUCAACCACAAUUUUUGAUCUUCUUUAAUCAUCUUUGGUUAUGUCAUUAGGGCUAUUCCAUUAAAAUUUAUGUGGGCGAGUAGGAAGGGAUUGUCAAAAAUAUCUCUACAACCCAGAAUGAUUUCUAAAUAAUUUUGCAUAAUGGUAAAAGAUGCUUGCAAAAAAAAGAAUCAUGACUCACAUUUAAUGAUUCAUAAACUUCCCUUCCUACCAAUCCACAUACAUUUAAAUGGUAAAACCCUUAUAUGAUUAUGCGGUUUAAAGUUUUAAAUUCAAAAUUAUCUUUUUUUGUAUGACAUUCAAAACUUAAUGUAUUUUUCAUGGUAAGUUUGAUUUAAGACAGAUCCAACAAUGGUAUCCACUCAUCUACAAACAUAAUGCUAGAACUGUCUUUAGCCAGGGACUAUUUUCAUACUUUAUUUUAUCAUUCCAUAGGUUGAAUAUUUUUGAUUUUAUAUUUCUACAUAAUGUUGAUCAUUGUUUAAUUUGCUUUCGUGUUAUUUUUGUCAUUAAUAAAAAUUAGGAA
Molecule: long non-coding RNA, 1493 nt
Filed under: Mytilus galloprovincialis (Mediterranean mussel)
Lineage: Eukaryota; Metazoa; Mollusca; Bivalvia; Mytilida; Mytilidae
Source: RNAcentral